CUACGGGGUGCUGCAGUGAGGAAUAUUGCACAAUGGAGGAAACUCUGAUGCAGCAACGCCGCGUGGAGGAUGACACUUUUCGGAGCGUAAACUCCUUUUAUAUAGGAAGAAGAUGACGGUACUAUAUGAAUAAGCGCCGGCUAACUCCGUGCCAGCAGCCGCGGUAAUACGGAGGGCGCAAGCGUUACUCGGAAUCACUGGGCGUAAAGAGCGUGUAGGCGGAUUAAAAAGUCAGAAGUGAAAUCCUAUAGCUUAACUAUAGAACUGCUUCUGAAACUCUUAAUCUAGAAUAUGGGAGAGGUAGAUGGAAUUGCUGGUGUAGGGGUAAAAUCCGUAGAGAUCAGAAGGAAUACCGAUUGCGAAGGCGAUCUACUAGAACAUUAUUGACGCUGAGACGCGAAAGCGUGGGGAGCAAACAGGAUUAGAUACCCUUGUAGUC
RNAcentral lists this ribosomal RNA (439 nucleotides) under uncultured bacterium. RNAcentral describes it as "partial 16S ribosomal RNA". It matches the Rfam family "Bacterial small subunit ribosomal RNA", at positions 339 to 795 of the family's 1533-position model. The record is from RNAcentral.